Non-coding RNA from Potamilus streckersoni, 81 nucleotides. Lineage: Eukaryota; Metazoa; Mollusca; Bivalvia; Unionida; Unionidae. The record is from the annotation of a GenBank genome assembly.
GGCCUUCCUUGCCAAUGGCCUAGUGGUUAGAGCGUCCGCUUCGGAUGCGGGAUGUCUUGGGUUCUAUCCCCGGUCGAGUCA